This 253-nucleotide ribosomal RNA is filed under the name uncultured bacterium. RNAcentral describes it as "partial 16S ribosomal RNA". It matches the Rfam family "Bacterial small subunit ribosomal RNA", at positions 524 to 776 of the family's 1533-position model. The record is from RNAcentral.
UACGAAGGGGGCAAGCGUUGUUCGGAAUUAUUGGGCGUAAAGCGCGCGCAGGCGGUCCUUUAAGUCUGAUGUGAAAGCCCACGGCUCAACCGUGGAGGGUCAUUGGAAACUGGGGGACUUGAGUACAGAAGAGAAGAGUGGAAUUCCACGUGUAGCGGUGAAAUGCGUAGAGAUGUGGAGGAACACCAGUGGCGAAGGCGACUCUUUGGUCUGUAACUGACGCUGAGGCGCGAAAGCGUGGGGAGCAAACAGG